AUCCCUCCGUAGGUCAACCUGCGGAGGGAUCAUUACCGAGUUUACAACUCCCAAACCCAUGUGAACAUACCUAUUGUUGCUUCGGCGGGAUUGCCCCGGGCGCCUCGUGUGCCCCGGAUCAGGCGCCCGCCUAGGAAACUUAACUCUUGUUUUAUUUUGGAAUCUUCUGAGUAGUUUUUACAAAUAAAUAAAAACUUUCAACAAAGGAUCUCUUGGUUUUGGCAUCGAUGAAGAACGCAGAGAAAUGCGAUAAGUAAUGUGAAUUGCAGAAUUCAGUGAAUCAUCGAAUCUUUGAACGCACAUUGCGCCCGCCAGUAUUCUGGCGGGCACGCCUGUUUGAGMGUCAUUUCAACCCUCAUGCCCCUAGGGCGUGGUGUUGGGGAUCGGCCAAAGCCCGCGAGGGACGGCCGGCCCCUAAAUCUAGUGGCGGACCCGUCGUGGCCUCCUCUGCGAAGUAGUGAUAUUCCGCAUCGGAGAGCGACGAGCCCCUGCCGUUAAACCCCCAACUUUCCAAGGUUGACCUCAGAUCAGGUAGGAAUACCCGCUGAACUUAAGCAUAUCAAUAAGCGGAGGA
This 574-nucleotide ribosomal RNA is filed under the name Clonostachys sp. 5 MM-2016. Its description in RNAcentral is "eukaryotic LSU rRNA". The record is from RNAcentral. Lineage: Eukaryota; Fungi; Ascomycota; Sordariomycetes; Hypocreales; Bionectriaceae.